GCGGAGGGGAGUGGCGGUGCUGAAGGGGCGGCUGGCGCGGUUCCCGCCGAGCGCUGAUGGGAGGGAAGACGGGACGGCGCUGAGGCCGGGCGACGGCGGCGGCGGCUGCCCCUCGGCCUCCCACACACGCACGGCUCGGUGUGCGCUGCCUCUCACACACACCCCGCACACACUGAGGGGGGAGGAACCGGGACUCGCCCUUCCUCCCUCCCUCGCGGCGGCUGCGCCCAGCCCAUUAACCCUGCGGCCCCCGGGCUCCCCGCGGCUGAGCGUCCGGGAGGCGCCGCCUCUCCCCUGCACGGAGGGAGCGGCCGUUGGCAGCCGUUAGGCGCACGGGGAGGCCGGACGCCCUUUCGCAGGACAGCGCUUCCCGCCACACCUCGCCGCCGCCUCUCCCCCGCACCCCCCCUCCGGUGGAGGGAUUGGUACGUUCCGUUUUGCUGCAGUCAAGCCCGUUGGUCAGCAGCGGGUGGGGAAGGUAGACUACAGGUGAAACCAGAUCGUCCUCUGUGCUGGUUAUGUGGUUUGACACCAUCUAGAAGGACUGAAACAAGAACUGUGCUAAGCAAGAAGCAUAUCAAGUGUCUGAGCUAAAUGUUUUAUGAUUACAAACAAUAUCCUAAAGAGACAUGGAAAUACUGCUAAGGCUUUUCCCUGUAUUCCAGGAACCAGAAUUGAAAAAAAAUUCAAAUUAGUUCCACGCUAAGGACCAGGGAUAUACCUCCAGCAACCUGCCACCGUGCUCGUGUUACUGCAAAGCUGUGGAGAUGCGGACACAAAAGUGUAUUCAUGGGCAGCGGAUACUUAUAGUGUGGAUAUGGCAAACACCGAGUUCACAAGCACAUAAGCUUACAUGCAGAGUCAGUCCAUAGUUAAAUAUCCACAAAGAGCUGAAAUUAUUUCUUGACGUGCUUCCCUAGGGCUUUUUGUUGUAGCUUAUCACAGGCUCUCAAAAUAGCAUUACAUUCAAUAUUCAACAGCCUGUUUGAGUAGACCUCUGUAUUAACAUGGAGUGGUACCUCCCAGUUAACAGUGGUAUGAAAAUGGACUGUUUAAAUUGUCAUUACUAGGUAAGGUAAUAGUUGAGUCAUAAGAAAAUCUAGCCUUUCUGAAGUAAAUAGAAAAAAUGGCACUGAUUUCAGUAGAGUCAGGAUUACAUUCUCUUUACUGUACAUUAAAUUGGGUAUAAGCCCUAUGGAGAUGCCUCUUUGCUUCUGAAGCACACUUAAGUAGCAGACUGGAAAUUCAGCAUCAGUUUAACUUAAAUGAAAAAAAAAAGCAGCUGAAUAUGAAAUUAAAUAAUGCAGUUUGAGAUUAAAGUGGUUGUUUCUGCCAAAAUGGUCAUAUAUCAAAGUUAAUCAUCUUUUGAGAUGAGGAGUGUCAUCUUUUGAGAUGAGGAGUUCUUGGAGCUUUGGACCUUUGUAUCAGGGACGGUACAUGUGUCCUGUGCUGUCUGCCAGAGAGGGAGCCAGUGAAAGUACUGGUGGAGGAGUAAUGGUAGCGCAGGAGGGAAACUGCUGCUGGCCAGGCAGUCCCAAGAGCACUCUCUAACCUUGGCCAUUUGGGUUAAGCCUUGGAGUUUCAGCUGGGCUGUUCGCAGGAGAUGCCCAAGUAAGGCCUUGUGAGGGACAGUAUGGGACAUUACUGCAAGAAGGGGAGCUGAUUUGGCUUUGACAUUUCAGGGGUUGUUAUAUUCAUUUUUAGUUUGUUUUGAUGACAUUUUAAGCUCUUGGGAAAGGCACACCAAGUUCAGAAUAGAUGCUUGGCUAUGGAUCUCUAGAAAAACAGUAAGUAUUUAUUUAAGGUCAUUAAUAGGCUUAGGUAGACAUUACAGUGAUUCACGGUUUUAAAGUAACUUCAUGGCUAGUUGUGGUAAAAAACAAGUAAAAAUGAGCAAGUCUAUGCUACAGUGCAUAACAUCAAGUUUUGGACAUGUGUGUAUAUAUACUAAUCCUUAUAUAAUGUACAGGACAGAAUGUCUUAUGAUAAUUCUUUGAAAAUUAUCUGUUCUUGAGAAUGCCUGAGCUGUUUUAAAGGAAGCUCUAAAAUAAACAUAGAACUCAG
Long non-coding RNA from Grus americana (Whooping crane), 2064 nucleotides. RefSeq lists it as uncharacterized. The record is from RefSeq and is a predicted model, not a curated record. The transcript has 2 exons. NCBI's taxonomy places the organism in Eukaryota, Metazoa, Chordata, Aves, Gruiformes, Gruidae.